RNAcentral lists this ribosomal RNA (468 nucleotides) under uncultured bacterium. RNAcentral's name for it is "partial 16S ribosomal RNA". It matches the Rfam family "Bacterial small subunit ribosomal RNA", at positions 38 to 507 of the family's 1533-position model. The record is from RNAcentral.
GGGGGGGGGGGGGGGGGGGGGUGGGGCGGGCGGGGGGGGCGGCGGGGGGGGGCUGGUGUGGGGUGGUCGGGGGGCGAACGGGUGGGUAACACGUGAGUAGCCUGCCCUUGGCUGUGGGGUACCUUGCGGCCACUGGUGCUCAUGCCGGAUAGGGGGGCCUGGUGCGUGGGGUUGGGUGGCCAGUGUCUGCGGGUGGGGAUGUACGCUCGGUUUAUCAGCUUGUUGGUGGGGUAGUGGCUUACCAAGGCGUUGACGGUUAGCCGGCCUGAGAGGGUGACCGGCCACAUUGGGACUGAGAUACGGCCCAGACUCCUACGGGAGGCAGCAGUGGGGAAUAUUGCACAAUGGGCGGAAGCCUGAUGCAGCAACGCCGCGUGCGGGAUGACGGCCUUCGGGUUGUAAACCGCUUUCGCCUGUGACGAAGCGUGAGUGACGGUAAUGGGUAAAGAAGCACCGGCUAACUACGUG